CGAGGGGCAGCGGGAUUGAAGCUUGCUUCAAUUGCCGGCGACGGCGCACGGGUGAGUAACGCGUAAUCCAACCUUCCGUACACUCAGGGAUAGCCUUUCGAAGAAAGACUAAUACCCAAUGACGUCUCUAGAAGACAUCUGAAAGAGAUUAAAGAUUUAUCGGUGAUGGAUGGGGAUGCGUCUGAUUAGCUUGUUGGCGGGGUAACGGCCCACCAAGGCGACGAUCAGUAGGGGUUCUGAGAGGAAGGUCCCCCACAUUGGAACUGAGACACGGUCCAAACUCCUACGGGAGGCAGCAGUGAGGAAUAUUGGUCAAUGGACGAGAGUCUGAACCAGCCAAGUAGCGUGCAGGAUGACGGCCCUAUGGGUUGUAAACUGCUUUUAUAAGGGAAUAAAGUGGGAGUCGUGACUCUUUUUGCAUGUACCUUAUGAAUAAGGACCGGCUAAUUCCGUG
RNAcentral lists this ribosomal RNA (454 nucleotides) under uncultured bacterium. Its description in RNAcentral is "bacterial SSU rRNA". It matches the Rfam family "Bacterial small subunit ribosomal RNA", at positions 63 to 507 of the family's 1533-position model. The record is from RNAcentral.